This is a long non-coding RNA of Pyrgilauda ruficollis (rufous-necked snowfinch), 1282 nucleotides long. RefSeq lists it as uncharacterized. The record is from RefSeq and is a predicted model, not a curated record. Lineage: Eukaryota; Metazoa; Chordata; Aves; Passeriformes; Passeridae. The transcript has 5 exons.
CAAAAGCAAGAAAUACUCAUGAAUCCAGAUGAAGGCACAAGAAGGAAACAACCCAGCAAGUGAGGCAGAGGCCAUCCCUCUCCACCUGCCACCAGCAGACCAAUUUACCACCAGUUGCAUGAGGAAAUAAAAGCUCUCCAGGUGAUACCCUCACUGUGCUCCUGGGUCCUGACAGAGUUGAGUGCCAAACUGCUUGGUGCUUGCAAGAAGAUGGAGAUUCUGGACUUUCCCACCAGCAAAACAGGAAUUACUACUACCCAGUAUCAAUGACAAAAGGAAAGUUGCUCAUUUGCACUCUGGGGACACAGUAGUCCAGCUCGCAAUCUUUCUCCUUGAUACAGGAAAUUUCUGCCCAUGGUGUCAACAGCAAAAUUAUGAUUGAUUGAGCCUCCAUUAUUCUGUUGGUGUAUUCUUCUGCUAUGAGACACGGAUUGCCCCUCAACUGGGAGACUGUUUUGUGAAGACUUUCACAUGGAUGGUGAGGUAGGAGUAUGGUAUUACAAUGGAAAAAAACCCCAUUUACUCUGUCCUUCAUCUCUGAAGCACAUCAAAGCCUGACUGAAUUCUCUGUGUGAAGGAAGGAAGAGAAGUACCAGAUGACAGCAUUGGGCUGCUAUUUAGACAAAGUAGAAGAGGAGUAGAUCUGAACCAUCAGCCUGUACUUGGCUUAUGUCUAACUUCACUGUUAACAGGAAUACAGCUGCAAAAACUUUAAUGGACACAUUUGCUUGAGAAGGUAACCUACCACCAUGGACUCCUUUUAUUUUUUGCUGUCAAAAGAAUAGAUAGGAGUUAUCCUAAGGAAGUAAAAACGAUAGACCUAAAUAUUAAAAGUAAGUGCUAAAUAGAGAGCUGACAUGAGUUCAUCCUUCAAAGGGUACCAGAUUGCCCUAAAAGAUGAUUCUCAGCAUCAAUAGAAAUCAUGGAUAUGUCAGAUAAUGGAAAUGAUGUUUGCUGGGAACUACAGCUGCCAGUUUUCCAGCUGACAAUAUGAGUGAAUACUUGGGCUUAAAAAGUAAUUUACUAGAUAUUUUAUUGACAAAUUAUUUUUACAUAUGUACUGAAUCAAAAUUUAUCUCUGAAGUUUUGAGCUAUUAUUUCUAAUCCUGGUGAUAUACCCCAAGGAAUAAUUAACACUUUAUGAAGUCCUGGCUUUUAGAGAUUUUAAAUGCCCAUGUUUCUACCUCAUCCUUUGUAAUUGUUAAGCAAAGACACACAUACUUAUGUUAACCCACAUGUUCUUAAAUAUCCAAAUCAAAUCUUCCAGACCAUGGUUUUCCUU